AGGUUGGAGUGCUUUAUCGAACGAAGCCAUGAAAAGACCUACGUAUCUCGAUGGAAUUGGCCAAUCACCAAGGGCGAUGUUAGGUUAGCAUUCUUUUAGAACGAAUAGAACGAACUCGAGUUCAGUUCCUUGCUCUAGCUUUCUCCCUUCUCGACCAGACGAAGGAGAUAUGAAUUCAUAUCAGGCGGGUAAGGGCUUGGCUUGACUCUGUGUUCUCUCCUGGUCGGGUCGGAGGCGAAGACUGGCAAAGUUCAUCAUUCAGUGGUGGGGUGUUCAUAGAAAAGAGGGCGUCGCCCAACGAGUGGCAGAUUUGGAUGGAGUCUCGCUCAUAGAUAGAGGAAGAGUACGCGCGCUAGCGCGCUACGGCUUACGCAGUUGAUCGGAUCAGAUAGCCCUUCGGUUGGUUGCCCAACCGCACAUAAAAUUCCGAUCAACAACUUGGAGGUAUGGCUGAGUGGCUUAAGGCAUUGGUUUGCUAAAUCGACAUACAAGAAGAUUGUAUCAUGGGUUCGAAUCCCAUUUCCUCCGGCACGGAAGUGGAACGGGCGGGCGAAAUUACGUGAGAGAAAGAACCUCUUGGUGUUGGUGGAGUCCCCCGGAGGACAGAAUAGCACUACUUAGUUACUAGGAGCGGAGAGCCCGUUGCGCGUUGUUUUGACCGGCCUGCCUAUCUUCUUUUUAUAUUAAUUAUAAGCAAGCUCCCUCCGGCAGUCCCUGGGCGGCUCUCGGUUCUUUAGCAUGUUGGGAGAGGAGAUUAGGCGGCAGUUGAAAGAGCUGCUCGAAAGCUUGACGAACGAAAAAAUAUAGGGCUUUCUUUUUAUGAGUAAAGGGCUUUUCCCUUACUAGUAAAGUGGUAAGUAAGGUAGGGCGCUAUUCGAUGAAGAAAAGAGACUGACUUUAGGAAAGUGGUUCAGGUAGCUCAGCUGGUUAGAGCAAAGGACUGAAAAUCCUUGUGUCAGUGGUUCGAAUCCACUUCUAAGCGGGCUUUGGGUCCAAAGGGGACGACAGGUAGUUUAAGAAGAGCGAGCCGGAUUUUUUUAAAUUCAAGAUCAAGAGGAAGCCAAAAAAAAAUGUGAGCGCUCCUGCACUAUACGGCUUUUUGGCGUCGCCCUAUCUUGCUGGAGGCAGAUUUUAUAAAAAAAGCGGUUGAUUACUCGGAUUGGUUCUCGCGUCCCUGAUUUGACCCCAAAAGGAUGGGCGAGUUCGGUUCGAGUCUUCAUCGAUCGGGUGGAUCUAUAUGCUGAGGGGGGUGAGACGAGGUGUAGCGCAGUCUGGUCAGCGCAUCUGUUUUGGGUACAGAGGGCCAUAGGUUCGAAUCCUGUCACCUUGAUGUGAGGUAGUAAAGACCUAAAGAGCACCCAUCAACCCGUAAACUUUCGCUCUUUUAGAAAGAAGAAAAUAGACCGCCCUUGAUCUGGGCGGGAUCUAAAGCAGCAUUUCUUCCUAGGUUUUUUCUCGGGGGCAAGCCUUAGGUUCAAUUCUUUCUUGCCUAUAGUCAUCUUACCUUCUUCUGAUUCCGAGGAGUGAAACUGCAUUUCAGUAGUAUCUAAUUCACGUAACGUAAGAAAAGAGAAUCAGUCUGCAUGCUUAACAGCCUUCCUUGUCUGAAUCCCUUUUUAUGUAAAUGUAAAAAAAAAAGGAGGCUCCCUCAUGGGUCUUUGGGGCUAUGAGCAAGAACCACAUUCCUUAAAGAAAGUAUACCCGAAAGCACUUUAUCUAGAAUGGGUCAAUCAAUCAGUAAGUUGCUGACAUUGAAGAGAUUCAAGUCGAUGCUUCCACUGGCGAAUUCUAGUCCUAGGUUCUCCCAAUAUAGUUGAGUUCCAAUACCUUUUUCCCGAAAAGCAAUCAGCUUAGAUCGAACAAUAAACAUUCGGGAUCCUGAAAACUACUGCCGCCACGCCCCCUGUCCAUUAUAGCUGACAAGAUAAGCACAUUGAUCAUGGAGUCACCAUCGACUCUCAAAUUGGAAAUCAAGCUGAACUCGCUUAGCAGUUUGAGCCGUCUUUCAGAUAAGAGGGCAGUGAUCUGACCCAGGAUCAUGGAAAACCUGCGCUGCGCUUGAGGGAACAGAAGGCGCCACUCAGCCGUUGCUAGCGCACGAUCAAGCCGAAUGCG
Non-coding RNA from Lupinus albus (white lupine), 2115 nucleotides. NCBI's taxonomy places the organism in Eukaryota, Viridiplantae, Streptophyta, Magnoliopsida, Fabales, Fabaceae. The record is from the annotation of a GenBank genome assembly.